RNAcentral lists this long non-coding RNA (1160 nucleotides) under Carassius auratus (goldfish). Its description in RNAcentral is "lncRNA (ENSCARG00000028959.1)". Lineage: Eukaryota; Metazoa; Chordata; Actinopteri; Cypriniformes; Cyprinidae. The record is from RNAcentral.
UGAUUAUUUCAUAAUUACUAUGAUCCUGCACAGUCCCAUACAGUAAAAGAAAGCACAGUCCUCCUCGAGCACUGAGAUGUUAAUGAGACUUGAGAUGCUGCUUUUCAUUGGCCUGUGGCGAGGGUGUGGGCGGAGCCCCUCGAGCAAAUACUGUACUGGUGAUGAAGGUGUUCGGCGGCAACGCAAGCGCUCGGUGUUCCCAAGGUGAGCACAGUGACGUUGAGGCGCGUCGGUAAAGCGGUCAAACUUCAACGGUAGACAGGCGCCACUACAUUAGUAACGUCCUCAGACGGUUCUCAUUAACCUCUUAGCAAUUAAAAUGCGAUGAACAACCACAGUGCCCGUCUUUUGGCUUUAUAAAUUAGGCAGAAAUGAUGCUCGCAUCAGUACUGUGGACAGCUGUUUUAUUUACUCUUGUAAAAACCUCCGUCCUGAACAGCGGUCCAACUGAAGCACCAGAUGAGGAGAGCGGCUCUGGGAUGCUGUUGACAGAAGCAAUAGACCUUCUUGAUCAUCUGUGGCAGGUGGCUAAUCACAGCAACGCAUCAGUAACACAGGAAAGCCAAAGAUGUCCAGUCCUGCAUGUAGGCCAGUACUCCACCCUCUCUAUACCACUACGGCAGGUGUUUGGACACAGGUUUGGUGAUGAGUUCAGUCUGCUGUUGCAUCUGCGUAGCCCCCAGUCUGAAGACCGAAGUGUGCUAACUUUCCUCUGUCCAGAUGGACACAUUCUACUGCAGAUUCGCAUCAGUGCCUACACUUUUACCUUUAUCAGUACCCAACAACGACACUAUGAGUUCCCUGUGGCAGUGCUGUCUGAUGGGGGUUGGCACCGCGUGGCGGUCAGCGUCUCCUCGGGCCGGUUGGCAUUGUAUGUGGAUUGCUCCAUGGUUGAGAGCGUGGACUGGGCUUACAAGGAUGAUUUGGGAAUCUCCACUGAUGGCCUGGUUAUGGUGGGAGGAAUCAUUGAGGGUUUUGAGACACCUUUUGAGGGUGAUCUGAUGCAAGUGGCAUUUCUGAUGGGAGAACCAGAUGCAGCUCGAGAUCAGUGUGUCGUUUUGCAACCCCAGUGCGGCGGAACCGGACACAAACCACCUCGCUCUCCUCGCAUACACACUGAAGAGGUAAGUGAGCCAUACUGUACAGGGAAUAUCAUGUAA